Long non-coding RNA from Onychostruthus taczanowskii (white-rumped snowfinch), 567 nucleotides. RefSeq lists it as uncharacterized. The record is from RefSeq and is a predicted model, not a curated record. The transcript has 4 exons. NCBI's taxonomy places the organism in Eukaryota, Metazoa, Chordata, Aves, Passeriformes, Passeridae.
UUCUGGGCAUUCGAUUCUCCACUUCUGAUAAUUCUUCAAUAACUGGAAAAAGAAAAUAAUGUGGAUGUCAGGUUGGAAAAAAGGAUUUAAGUUCUUGAACUUUGGAAUAAAGAGAGUGGUGUUUUCAGCUUGAGAUGCACUCAAGAUCCUUACAGAUGGCAUAGUUAACCUACCUGCACACCCAUUAAGGAGUAAAUAUAUGGUUGGAAUACUUCUGACACUUUCCAUGACACAACUGCCUUGACCCUGCAGUACAUCCAUAUACAAACAAUGAUCUCUUAUGGGGUGUCCUUUGAAGGAUACUGUUUCCCAAUCGGAGCUGUGACCUUACCGCGCUUACUGUACGGGCGAGUGACUGUACGGCGCUUACCACACCUUGGUGUUACCCCACGGACACCGCGCCGAGCCAGCCGCCACGCCGCGCACUGCUGCGGUGCCGCGCCGAAGACACGCAUGACGGGCAAACACCCACACCCCGAAACCCCGCUCGGCCUCGCCCGACCCGGGCAGCGCAGGGCACGGACCCACCCCACAGCCCGUCCCGCAGCCGCAGCCCGAGCCCGGCUG